This 243-nucleotide ribosomal RNA is filed under the name uncultured bacterium. RNAcentral's name for it is "partial 16S ribosomal RNA". It matches the Rfam family "Bacterial small subunit ribosomal RNA", at positions 63 to 334 of the family's 1533-position model. The record is from RNAcentral.
CGAGCGAGACCUUCGGGUCUAGCGGCGGACGGGUUAGUAACGCGUGGGAACGUACCCUUCUCUAAGGAAUAGCCACUGGAAACGGUGAGUAAUACCUUAUACGCCCUUCGGGGGAAAGAUUUAUCGGAGAAGGAUCGGCCCGCGUAAGAUUAGAUAGUUGGUGGGGUAAUGGCCUACCAAGUCUACGAUCUUUAGCUGGUUUUAGAGGAUGAUCAGCAACACUGGGACUGAGACACGGCCCAG